Molecule: ribosomal RNA, 433 nt
Filed under: uncultured bacterium
Lineage: Bacteria
Description: partial 16S ribosomal RNA
Rfam family: Bacterial small subunit ribosomal RNA
Source: RNAcentral
AACGAACGCUGGCGGCAGGCCUAACACAUGCAAGUCGAGCGAGGACUUCGGUCCUAGCGGCGGACGGGUGAGUAACGCGUGGGAACGUGCCCUUUGCUUCGGAAUAGCUCUGGGAAACUGGGAGUAAUACCGGAUGAGCCCUUUGGGGGAAAGAUUUAUCGGCGAAGGAUCGGCCCGCGUUGGAUUAGGUAGUUGGUGGGGUAAUGGCCUACCAAGCCGACGAUCCAUAGCUGGUGUGAGAGGAUGAUCAGCCACACUGGGACUGAGACACGGCCCAGACUCCUACGGGAGGCAGCAGUGGGGAAUCUUAGACAAUGGGGGAAACCCUGAUCUAGCCAUGCCGCGUGAGCGAUGAAGGCCUUAGGGUUGUAAAGCUCUUUCAGCUGGGAAGAUAAUGACGGUACCAGCAGAAGAAGCCCCGGCUAACUCCGUG